Long non-coding RNA from Zonotrichia leucophrys gambelii, 406 nucleotides. RefSeq lists it as uncharacterized. The record is from RefSeq and is a predicted model, not a curated record. Lineage: Eukaryota; Metazoa; Chordata; Aves; Passeriformes; Passerellidae. The transcript has 4 exons.
GGAAAGUGUUGGAAGCCUGUCAACAGAAGUCUUUUAAAUUAAUUACCCAGUGAAAGUUAUGUGAUCCAGAGGGCAGUUUGGACUGUAUUUAGGGAUGACUUGGAAAUCAAAUCAAAAUGUAGCAAUUUGUAAGCAAGCUUUCCUACAAAGAGGCUGCCUGACUGGUGCUAAGGUAUUUCAGGCAGCUGACAAUCUGAAAUGCUGCCAGCACAGACUUCUGGCCAGCUCACAGCACAGUAAUAGCUCUCAAUAUAAGUUCUCCAGAAUCCAUCUCAAACAAGAUGAUUGUAUCCUAUGAGCCAUGAAAAGUUGAUAUGGGAAAAAAGAGACACAGGAGAAGGACACAAAACUGGAUGGUCUGAUGCCUCAGAAGUGCCAACAAUCCCCUCUUCUCACUGGAGUCAGG